UACGGAGGGUGCGAGCGUUGUCCGGAAUCACUGGGCGUAAAGGGUGCGUAGGCGGCUCUGUAAGUCGGGUGUGAAAUUUCGGAGCUUAACUCCGAAACUGCAUUCGAUACUGCGGUGCUUGAGGACUGGAGAGGAGACUGGAAUUCAUGGUGUAGCAGUGAAAUGCGCAGAGAUCAUGAGGAAGACCAGUGGCGAAGGCGGGUCUCUGGACAGUUCCUGACACUGAGGCACGAAGGCCAGGGGAGCAAACGGG
RNAcentral lists this ribosomal RNA (253 nucleotides) under uncultured bacterium. Its description in RNAcentral is "partial 16S ribosomal RNA". It matches the Rfam family "Bacterial small subunit ribosomal RNA", at positions 524 to 776 of the family's 1533-position model. The record is from RNAcentral.